GGCUAGCUGCUGCCACUUAAUGGAGGUGCUGCAACAUUGGGAUGAAAUCAAUGGGUGAAAAAUAAUUUUUUGGAUAAGGAAAGGGUGACUCUCGGUAUUUACAGUCCAGCUGCCGCCAUCACACUCCUUUUGAUUCUCGGCUGGAACGUUUUAUUUGGAGGCUGCUGCCAGCUUACACAUUCAUUAUGUAGCUUCUUUUGCUUAGGGAACGGAGGGUGAAAAGGAAAUAGGGCCUUAGCUAUGCACUGUCGCAGCACUUUUUUGGUUCUUUUCUUUUUUUUAUUUUUGUUAGCUUUCUUUAAACGUUGCUUUGAAUGGAACGAUACAGAUUUUAAAUUUAUUUUCAUUUAGUAAAAUGAAUUUGUCCAGCCGCCACAUUCUUGCUUUUUUUUUUUUCUUUGAGCGUUGUUUUUAGACAUUGGAUAAAUAGAGAGAAGCAUAUUUUUCUUGUGCAUUUCCAGCCGCC
Molecule: long non-coding RNA, 466 nt
Filed under: Vigna radiata
Lineage: Eukaryota; Viridiplantae; Streptophyta; Magnoliopsida; Fabales; Fabaceae
Description: long non-coding RNA (VRAD_LNC007858)
Source: RNAcentral